AAAUCUUAAAGGCAGUUGUGGUGAGGGCUCUGAAAGAAAAGAGGAGAGAGCGAGAGAGAGAGAGAGAGAGAGAGAGAGAGAGAGCGCGCUUGAGCUUCCACCUUCUUAGGGAAAAGAGCAUGUCCCAUAAAGGCCAUUCUGGUGAGACCUCAGAGGGAAACAAGGAAGAGGUUCCUGGAGACUGCAGGAAAGUUGUUAACGUGGCAAAGAACUGGGCUGAACUAUGUUUGCAUUCUGGUGUUUUUGCGAAAGGUAGAGCUAGCAAGCAGCGAUGUUGGAUAUUUAGCUGAGAUUUCUAAGCAAAAGUGUUUACGGAGCGACUUGGCUUCUCCUGACAUUAUAGUAAAAUGUGAGGAGAGAGAGAUGAAUGUGAAGAAAGAAUUGUUGAGCAAAAGGAACUAGAACUUGAAGAUCUGGAAAAUUCUCGGCCUAUCCCUAAGGCAAAAAGUGAGAAAGCAUGUGCUAGAGAGAACCAAGCGUGCAUUUGGAAUAUCAUUUGAUAUAGGGCUUCUGGGCUUAUGUGAGCAGAAACACUGCCAGUUUGAACCGAAAGGCUCUGAGAUGGGGCAAAAUGAAGGGAGGCCAUCCUCAGAUGUGACAGGACAGGAGGAGAGAGCUCUUUGGCUGUGAGUGUGCAAUAUCCUUCAAGAGGAGUGGAAAUGACCCCAAAGGUGAGUGAGAGAUCCAGGGCCACUGCCUCGGUUUCAACAGGCCAGAUGCCUUCUACCCCAAAGCCCCGAGGACAGGCCCGGCCUGCAGAGCAGGACCUGGAGGCAGGACCUCCACCCCAAUGGGUCUGGAAGGCAAAGCACUGAACCAAAGAGGAUUAUUUUCAAGUCUUAAAAUAUGAUGGAAUUCGCCUUGCCUGGGAACUGCCACCUUUUCCUUUUCCCCUAUUCCUCCCUUUGGAAUGGGAAUGUCAAUCCUACGCCUGCCCCACAGCUGUAUUUCGGAAGCAUAACAAGUCCGGUUCCACAGGUUCACAGGAGAGGAAUUCUUGAGUCUCACAAUAUCUGAUUUAGGACUGAUGGCCUUAGAAGAAGAGGAAGAGAGAUCAUUCUGUCUCCCUGAGGGUUCACUUGGAGGAACCACCAUGUGAAGACCCGGUGAGAAGGCCACUGUCUGCAAGGCAAGGGGAGAGCUUCAUCCCAGACCCCUCCCUGGCCGGCACCCCAAGAACCACGAGAAGAAACACAUUUCUGUGAACUGCUCCCGAGCCUGGUUGUUCUUCGCCGUCAGGUUGCCAAGGAUGAAGACGAUCCGCACCACCAGAUCCUGCAGGGAAGGGGGAGCCGGUUAGAGGGCCGAGGAGCUGGGGCCAGUUGCUGGAAGGAGUACAGCGUGUUCAUUUAUUCACGGUGUGAUUACUAGAAGAGGGGGGCACAUCUGGCGCCCACGAACUUGUCUAGAGUUUGAGUCUCAAGAUCGGUGCAAAUUGAUGGAGGAGAUUAACAAGCACUUGGAGCAGUGAAAGGCUACGAACUGAGUGAUGCUAUUAGCGAGGGCAUUAACUUCAGAUCCUGUGUCUGAAAUCCUGGUUGGCCUCUUUUCUUUUCUUUUUAACCCCUCAGACAACAAUUAGUCAAGUGGGAUAGGAUUACUGAUACCGUGUCAUGUAAAUCUAAGUAGUGACACCAACAGGUUGCCACAACACCCAAAUCUUUCCCUAGAAGUUCACCUCCUGCUGAAGGCGCUGUGUUUCUGAAAAUCGACUGUUCCGCACGACGGCUGAUCAGACUGUGUUAGAGCGCGCUUUCCCAACCUGGGCCCCACAGACUUUGGGGGCAGGAUAAUCCUUGCUGUGGGGGGGCUAGAUUUAGCAGCAGUAUUCCUGGCUCUUACUAUAGAUGCCAGUAGCACCUCCCCAGACGUCACAACCAAGAAGGUCUAACCGUCUUUUUUAAGUAGGCUUCACGCCCAAUAUGGGGCUUGAACCCAUGACCCUGAGAUCAAGGAUCGCGUGCAACUGAGCCAGCCAGGCAGCCCACAACCAAAAAGGUUUGAAUGUCCCCUGGGGACAGAAUCACUGUGUUUGACAAAUAUAUCACUUUAAAGCAGUGCUUUUCCUUCUUGACUAGGGUAGUGGUUACGUGGGCGAUGCCCUUACCCCUACUGGCUGAGGUGCACGUGUGUGCUUACCCACUUUUCUGCAUAUACGCUCUAUUUCACGUUAAAUAAAUGUUUCGAAAAAUCCCAAACUGAGAACAAUUUACAAGUAAACAGGACACAAAAACAAUUACAUUCUUAAUUCUAUAACAGACAGACAAAUGAGAACACUGGCCUUCCCCAUACCCAGGGACAGUGAGGAGAUUCCUUGGGGAGGAAGAGACUUACUCACUCAGAGGCUGUGAGUGAUCCGGGUGCUAACUCUCACUGUGCUGGCUGUGCAAUUUGACAGACAAGAAAUGGGUUUUUAGAACCUGCCUGGUCACACAACGAGCAAGGAGUGAGUCAGGAUUUGAAUCCAGGAUCCCUGACCUGGAGUGCUUUCUAGAGCCAAGCCUCCCACAUGGCCUGUCCUGCAAGGAUCUCCUUUGCCUUGUCUUUUGCAGAGCAGCUAAGGAAUUAUCUCCUUUUAAAAUGCAAAUAUGUGGGGCUCCUGGGUGGCUCAGUGGGUUCAGCCUCUGAUCUUGAUUUCAGCUCAGGUCAUGAUCUC
Molecule: long non-coding RNA, 2656 nt
Organism: Canis lupus familiaris (dog)
Lineage: Eukaryota; Metazoa; Chordata; Mammalia; Carnivora; Canidae
Exons: 3
Source: RefSeq, a predicted model, not a curated record